Molecule: long non-coding RNA, 303 nt
Organism: Drosophila novamexicana
Lineage: Eukaryota; Metazoa; Arthropoda; Insecta; Diptera; Drosophilidae
Exons: 3
Source: RefSeq, a predicted model, not a curated record
UGGCCUUCGAAGGUCAUGAAGGACUCUGUUGCCUGUGCAAAAUGAAUGGGAAACAAAUUGAAAAUAUUCGUUUAGUUUAAUCUAAACAGCAUUGUUUGAGUGCCGAAAAUAACAAAAUUCUGUUUGCGCGCUCUUUUUGUAGCUGCAGCUCCAGGCAAAAAAUUAUGUUUGAGGCAAAUUGUCAAGGGCGCAUAGCGCGUCACCCGUGUGGCCAGCCACGUAUCUGAAAGUGGCGAUGGGGAUGGCUAGGGAACUUGGUCGUCCAAAUGAGGGACGCUACUCACGCUGUAGAAGUUAACCACA